Chinchilla lanigera (long-tailed chinchilla) is the source of this 2150-nucleotide long non-coding RNA. RefSeq lists it as uncharacterized. Lineage: Eukaryota; Metazoa; Chordata; Mammalia; Rodentia; Chinchillidae. The record is from RefSeq and is a predicted model, not a curated record. The transcript has 3 exons.
CUGGAAGUUCUGGGACUUUGGCAGAUGGUGGCUUCUGCAGAUGUAGGACAGAGAGCGAUGGGUUUAGCUCUGUGCUGGCCAAUAGAAGCCUAGCGUGAUGCAUAGAGAGAGAAAGGGGUGUCUGCACAUGCUCUUGGCUUUCUGUGAUGGCAUCAUUGUUUACUCAGGCAGUCUAACCCUGCCCCCAUUCUCUGUGAGACCCUGACUGCAUGCUGCACCUUACAGUCUUAGCUGGCAGACAGGCAUAAAAGUAUCUGCCUUCCAGGCUGUUGUAAGGAAAAGAAAAAUCGUGCAUAUAAAAGUUUUGGCCUAUAGUGAUGAUAAUAUCUAUCUGUCUUUAUUGCACACUUAAUUUCAAGCAUCUGUGUGUUCCUUCUCACAUGGAAUCAUGACGGCUCAAUGAAGGAAAAACUCAUGCUCCUCUUGUUUCGCAGACAAGAAACUGAGGUAGGGGAGAUUCAGAGCCUCCCCUAAGACUCCAGAGUCUGAGUUCUUGACACCUUUUGCCGUCAUGAAGAUUCAGGUUUUCUGGAGAAGCACUUAGAGCAAGAGUGUGGCCACGGAGUGUCGCCUGAGAAGUCCAACUGCUCCUCUUCGCAGUGCCAUGGCGGGACUGCUGUCUUCGACUGAGACAAACUGAAGUUGUAUAAGAACACAGUGGACCAAAAAGGUCCUUUAAACAGCGAAGUUCCUCUCAGAGGGGCCAGAAGCCUGUUGCAGGAGAGAUGUGUCACAGCAGAGCCCAGGCGAGGGGGGCUCCGUGCUCAGGUGCUCGGUGAGGGUAGCGCUGUUUCUGUGUGCUUGCAGUGUUUCGGCCCCUCCGUGAUGAUACACAUUUGAAUUUGAGUAAAGAAGAUAGAAGGGCUCAUGGGGUGGGCAAACGCUGCACCGGUGCCUCUAGCACUUGGCAUUCCCAGCACACUGAGAGCGUUCGGUGUCUAUUUGUCAGGACAGUGUGGCCAAGGCUGAGUGUCUGGGCUUGGCAACCUGCCUUCUGAGGUUGAAAUGGCUUCAAAAUGAGAUCAAAACAUCCGUGUCUGGGACAUUUCUGGGCUCAGAACACUGCUCCAGUUCCUACUUCCGCUCUCGGACUGCUCCCUCCCGCAGUGUCUUCUUCCCCAGGGAGUCCUGAGGGCAUUCAGGGGUCUCCCAAGGAGGCCUUGGUCUGUGCUCUGGGGACCUGCUCCAGACGGGUGGGUCAGAAGAUUCAGGCCAAGUUCAUAAAAACACAGUGAGUAUGUAGACACGGCCCGAAACCAGGUUCCUGAGGACCUUACGCCAGUUUCCUUUUGUUUUAAGCUGUUUGGGGUUCUGGCAACCAGAGAGAGAGGGAUCAUUGACACAAUAGCUGCAUGUCAGGUUGUGCUUUUAUAAGGAACACCAUGAAACUCUCUUCUGUGGCCAAGACGCAUCCUGCACUUUGUGGAUGGGCCUUGUGACCAAGUUCAAAGGCGCCUCUGAUGGAAUUCCAGGGUGGGGCAGGGCAGGGUAAGGACGGUGCGCUAUUGACCUAAGGGACACGAACUGAUGAGAAGCUUCAAGGAGCAUGGGACUGCUGGUAGCUCCUGGGCUCUCCAGGACAGGUUGGAUGGAUAAGGAAAUUUAAUUUUUCUGCUUCUGAAAAAAUAGAUUGAGCUGGGAUACAUUGGCUGUCUCCAAGGAAGGACAGCAUGCUCACCCAGGAUUUUAGCCCGGGCCUGUCUGGUUUCAGAGCUGCACUGGUCCCCUUAAGAUAUAAAAGAGAUGCAAGGAGAGUUGCAUGUGACCGUAACCCAACGCUCUGUCCUGCUUAGGAUCUGGUCAAGUGGGAUCAGCAAUCAAGUGGGCAAGAUGGGCUGGGAUGUACUGGUUCUCCUCCUUCCCGCCUUGGGUGUUGCACAGUCUUUACUGGUGUUCCUGCAUUUCCAAGCCAACAGGGACUUCCUAGCCACUAGAGGGGCAAAGAAGCCAUCUGUUCCAUGCUCAGGUGGCAGGGCCAGGGGCUCAUACUCUCCAGCCCCGUGUUGGUUAGUGAGGGAGAAAAGGGGUGAGUGGUUUCCCUCCUUGCCCUGUGCUCCUCGACUGCAGCAGCUGAUGCAGAUUCAGAUAAGCAUCUGUGCUUUGGGAAGCUGAUUCCUACUGAAUCCAGUCCCUGCCCCGUCUGAGGUCCA